GGGACUUGUCUCCUCUUUGGGACAUUGAUCUUGAAGGAAAGGUAAAUGGAGCUGUGGAAACUUGUAAAGGUGAUGACGAGUGGGUAAUGUCAAAGCGGUUCCGCAACUACUUUAAUUUCUCACAUCCAAUCAUCGCAAAACAUUUAAAUCCUGAUGAAUGUGCCUGGGCCUAUGGGAUGAACGUUUUUGAUCUUCAUGCUUGGAGAAGGACAAAUAUACGGGAA
This 224-nucleotide unclassified non-coding RNA is filed under the name Hevea brasiliensis (rubber tree). Lineage: Eukaryota; Viridiplantae; Streptophyta; Magnoliopsida; Malpighiales; Euphorbiaceae. The record is from RNAcentral.